Molecule: long non-coding RNA, 580 nt
Filed under: Lathyrus oleraceus (garden pea)
Lineage: Eukaryota; Viridiplantae; Streptophyta; Magnoliopsida; Fabales; Fabaceae
Description: Pisum sativum (pea) long non-coding RNA (PSAT_LNC039830)
Source: RNAcentral
CAAAACCAUUAGCAGAAAAAAACAUUUUUCACUCAUUCUAAAAAAGAUCUCAUCCUUGCCUUGCUUCAUAACACGACUUCCUUACCAUGUGCUGCAAGGAGAUGAAACCUAGCAGACCAACAAAAGGUCAACUGAUGCAAAAACAGGUUUGCUUGGCAUUUGUCAAGAUGGCAAGUGCUGUUUAAAAGUCACAAUAGCAAUUUCUAACAGCAGAAUUGAAAGAGAAAAACUGUCAAAAUUCAUGACCACAACAAGCAACAUAGCACUGCAGCAGAUUUUUUUUGAUUCACCUCACCUUGCUUGUGUAUUUUCUGCCAAAACCUCAUCCAUUCCAAACCCCUUCACCUACUUCCUCAUUUUUAACCUUGGCCUUGGCAUAUCACUCUUUCUGUCCAAAACAAGUGGACCAAAAAACCUAACUUGCUGGUAUUGCAUUCCCAUUUCUUCCUGUCCAACUCAAAACAUUGCCUUGCCAACCACGACAGUUUGGUUCACCUCUAUUUUGCAUCACUUCUAAACUUUGCCAACAUAACUAAACCUAACCUGCCUUGCAUUUUCUAAAAGCUGUCCAAGCACAAGU